CUUCGAGGCAGGAACACAGCUGUCCCUCACACUGAAGACAGCACUCUUUAGCCUGCUGGGGAGACUCCUGGGGAUGGUGCCACCCGCUAUGGACUGGGUUCUCCCUCGUCAAUCAUCAGCCAAGAGAAUUCCUCACAGACAUGGCCAUGGGUCAAUUUGAUAAAGUUACAGGAGCUAGGAAACACACAUGGCUGGAAAACUGUAAUCCUCAUCGUAGACGCCUGUUAGAAGAGAAUAAGGAAAACCGAGCUGAUUCCAUCAGGGGUUGCUGGUCUUGCUGUGCUCUGGGUCUGGACAUCCAUGCUCUGGUAUCCGUUAGAAGCUGGACAUUUCCAUGAAAUGGACGCUUCUGUUCUCUGGCCACCUGGAACAAGACCAGUCCUAAGAAGGAAAGAAGAAUGUGGGACACGGGCCUUAGGCUGGAGUGUGGAGAAAUCGCUGCCUCCUUUCCCUGAUUCAGGAUUUGGGGGAAUCAAGAACAUUCCCAUUUUAGGGAGGUGGCUGGCCCUUGC
Molecule: long non-coding RNA, 512 nt
Organism: Microtus oregoni (creeping vole)
Lineage: Eukaryota; Metazoa; Chordata; Mammalia; Rodentia; Cricetidae
Exons: 3
Source: RefSeq, a predicted model, not a curated record